RNAcentral lists this RNase P RNA (363 nucleotides) under Candidatus Fraserbacteria bacterium RBG_16_55_9. Its description in RNAcentral is "RNase P RNA component class A". It matches the Rfam family "Bacterial RNase P class A". From Rfam's summary of the family: Ribonuclease P (RNase P) is a ubiquitous endoribonuclease, found in archaea, bacteria and eukarya as well as chloroplasts and mitochondria. Its best characterised activity is the generation of mature 5'-ends of tRNAs by cleaving the 5'-leader elements of precursor-tRNAs. The record is from RNAcentral. Lineage: Bacteria; Candidatus Fraseribacteriota.
AGAGAGAGGUAGAGGGCCGCAGGGUGCUUCGCACGGAGCAUCUUGAGGAAAGUCCGGGCUCCAUAGGGCAAGCUGCUCGGUGAAGAACCGAGAGGGAGCGAUCCCUGGGUUAGGCCACAGAGACCAGACCGCCGAUGGCGCUUCGCGCAUUUCAGCGAAGCGCACAGGCAAGGGUGAAAGGGUGGGGUAAGAGCCCACCGCCAGUCCGGGCGACCGGGCUGAGGCUGGUAGACCCCCGGCUGGAGCAAGGCCAAGUAAGCAGGCGCUAAAGGGUAGCCCGCCCGAUGCCUGUGGGUAGGCCGCUAAGAUGGAUGGCCCUCGUCCCUCAGGGGAACAGAACCCGGCUUAUUCCUCUCUCCCUUU